ACAACCUGGGCUGUGUCCUGACCGGGAAUCAAACCGGCACAGGGGCCAGAGGCAAGUUCUGAAUGGCGGCAGGAUGGUGGGAUGACCUGCAGUUAUCAGGUGUUGGCCGUCGUGGAUAAAGCGGACGUAACACCCGAGUGGACACCGGUUUCUAGCUCCUCUGGGUAAAUGCCAGGGGCCACGGCUGCUGGGUCACGUGGUAGGAGAACGUUUAGUUUUGGGAGAAACCAGCCUACUGAUUGGCAUCCCUGGAGUUCUAGAUUUGGGGCCCCUUUACGGGGCUGCGGGUUCUGAGAACGUCACAGACCCGAGUGCACUCCCUCCGCCCGAACCCGGCCCGUCUCCCCAGCUGUGUGGGCUCCGGGAGCCCCUCCGGAACGCGAUGGUCUCAAGUGGACACAAACGGAAAGUCCCUGAAGUCCCUCGGAUGACGCCAGGCGGGAGCAGAGAGGUGGGAGGGGACCUGUGAGCCCUGGUGUUGGAGUCUAGCUUCCGUCCUGGAGGCACCACAGACUGAGAUGACAGCCUGGCCGCAGGGAGCCACGCGGUGGGCCAGGACCCACGGCCGCAGGAAGCCACGUGGUGGGCCAGGACCCACGGUCGCAGGGAGCCACGCGGUGGGCCAGGACCCACGGCGGCGGCAAGCUUGUCCACAUCAGCACAGCAUCAGAGCCUCCAAGGUGCAGGCUGGGAGGGGCCCCGCUGCACAGACGGGAGAUCGAGGCCCAGAGCGGUUAGCUGUCGGCCUGCAGGCAUGAGGUUCCUGGGGCAAAGCUGCCCAGACGCCGGCCGUCUUAGCCCUGCCCCGAGAUACAGAGGGUGUUGGUGGUGGCCGCUCUGUCUGUACUGCUCGGACGCCACUGUGUGCCGUCUCGUCUCGUCCUCACAGCCCUGGGAGCCUGUGUCCCACACCCGUCCUCUGGGAGGGGACACUGGGCCCAGACACACAGAACCGUGGCCCAGGGUCAGAGCAGGAGCUGGGACGCCACCCACAGCGGACGGCUCCUCGUCACCUGAAGUGACAAAACUAAGCUGACGAAAAUAACUGAGGGAGCAGUGGACUCUGUGCACUGGGGCUGGGACGGAGCCGUAAGGAAACUCCCAGAAGGAAAGGGGCCUCUUUUCUUACAACAGCACUGACGUCCCACCCGCUGGCCAUGGAGUUGGAGACCCCAGAGGGCCCUGCUCACCAGGUGACGUGCGAGGGGGCCUCUCAUCAAGGAGGGGGAGCGUCCGGAGCACAGACUCUGGGGCCAGAGCACCUGGGUUCACCCCAGCUCUGUCCUGACCUGCUGUGUGACCUUGGGCAAGUUACUUGACAUCUCUGUGCUCAGUGUCUUCAUCGAACAUGGACAUGAUGGAAGUACUCACAGUGUGGAGUCACGGAAGUUUAAAUGAAAUGCAAUAAGUAGCCCAGCCAGUGUGGCUCAGUGGUU
Molecule: long non-coding RNA, 1436 nt
Organism: Molossus molossus (Pallas's mastiff bat)
Lineage: Eukaryota; Metazoa; Chordata; Mammalia; Chiroptera; Molossidae
Exons: 3
Source: RefSeq, a predicted model, not a curated record